This 429-nucleotide ribosomal RNA is filed under the name Chloroflexota bacterium. RNAcentral's name for it is "Chloroflexi bacterium partial 16S ribosomal RNA". It matches the Rfam family "Bacterial small subunit ribosomal RNA", at positions 355 to 776 of the family's 1533-position model. The record is from RNAcentral. Lineage: Bacteria; Bacillati; Chloroflexota.
UGGGGAAUAUUGCACAAUGGGCGCAAGCAUGAUGCAGCCAUGCCGCGUGUGUGAAGAAGGCCUCCGGGUUGUAAAGCACUUUCAGCGGGGAGGAAGGCGAUAAGGUUAAUAACCUUGUCGAUUGACGUUACCCGCAGAAGAAGCACCGGCUAACUCCGUGCCAGCAGCCGCGGUAAUACGGAGGGCGCAAGCGUUAAUCGGAAUUACUGGGCGUAAAGCGCACGCAGGCGGUCUGUCAAGUCGGAUGUGAAAUCCCCGGGCUCAACCUGGGAACUGCGUUCGAAUCUGGCAGGCUAGAGUCUUGUAGAGGGGGUUAGAAUUCCAGUUUUAGCGGUGAAAUGCGUAGAGAUCUGGAGGAAUACCGGUGGCGAAGGCGGCCCCCUGGACAAAGACUGACGCUCAGGUGCGAAAGCGUGGGGAGCAAACAGU